This 32-nucleotide non-coding RNA is filed under the name Plasmodium falciparum 3D7. Lineage: Eukaryota; Apicomplexa; Aconoidasida; Haemosporida; Plasmodiidae. The record is from RNAcentral.
AAGAAGAAACCUAACACUUUUCCUCCGGUGUG